Molecule: ribosomal RNA, 468 nt
Filed under: uncultured bacterium
Lineage: Bacteria
Description: partial 16S ribosomal RNA
Rfam family: Bacterial small subunit ribosomal RNA
Source: RNAcentral
GAUGAACGCUGGCGGCGUGCUUAACACAUGCAAGUCGAACGGAAAGGCCCAAGCUUGCUUGGGUACUCGAGUGGCGAACGGGUGAGUAACACGUGGGUGAUCUGCCCUGCACUUCGGGAUAAGCCUGGGAAACUGGGUCUAAUACUGGAUAGGACCACUUCUUGGAUGGUGUGGUGGAAAGUUUUUUCGGUGUGGGAUGAGCUCGCGGCAUAUCAGCUUGUUGGUGGGGUAAUGGCCUACCAAGGCGUCGACGGGUAGCCGGCCUGAGAGGGUGUACGGCCACAUUGGGACUGAGAUACGGCCCAGACUCCUACGGGAGGCAGCAGUGGGGAAUAUUGCACAAUGGGCGCAAGCCUGAUGCAGCGACGCCGCGUGGGGGAUGACGGCCUUCGGGUUGUAAACUCCUUUCGCUAGGGACGAAGCGUUUUUGUGACGGUACCUGGAGAAGAAGCACCGGCUAACUACGUG